CCCUUAGAUGUUCUGGGCUGCACGCGUGCUACAAUGGCGCUUGCAACAAGAUUGCCAACCCGAAAGGGUGAGCGGAUCUUUGAAGUGGCGUCGUGAUCGGGACAGUUGAUUGCAAUUAUUCGAUUCGAACGAGGAAUUCCUUGUAAUCGCGAUUCAUCAUAUCGCGCUGAAUACGUCCCUGCCCUUUGUACACACCGCCCGUCGCUCCUACCGAUUGAGCGAUCCGGUGAAUGUUUUGGACUGGUGUCCGCAAGCGUUUCGCUUCGGACGCUACGAAAUUUUGUAAACCUUAUCGCUUAGAGGAAGGAAAAGUCGUAACA
Molecule: ribosomal RNA, 320 nt
Filed under: uncultured eukaryote
Lineage: Eukaryota
Description: partial 18S ribosomal RNA
Rfam family: Eukaryotic small subunit ribosomal RNA
Source: RNAcentral